GGGUUGUGAGGUUAAGCGACUAAGCGUACACGGUGGAUGCCCUGGCAGUCAGAGGCGAUGAAGGACGUGCUAAUCUGCGAUAAGCGUCGGUAAGGUGAUAUGAACCGUUAUAACCGGCGAUUUCCGAAUGGGGAAACCCAGUGUGAUUCGUCACACUAUCAUUAACUGAAUCCAUAGGUUAAUGAGGCGAACCGGGGGAACUGAAACAUCUAAGUACCCCGAGGAAAAGAAAUCAACCGAGAUUCCCCCAGUAGCGGCGAGCGAACGGGGAGCAGCCCAGAGCCUGAAUCAGUGUGUGUGUUAGUGGAAGCGUCUGGAAAGGCGCGCGAUACAGGGUGACAGCCCCGUACACAAAAAUGCACAUGCUGUGAGCUCGAUGAGUAGGGCGGGACACGUGGUAUCCUGUCUGAAUAUGGGGGGACCAUCCUCCAAGGCUAAAUACUCCUGACUGACCGAUAGUGAACCAGUACCGUGAGGGAAAGGCGAAAAGAACCCCGGCGAGGGGAGUGAAAAAGAACCUGAAACCGUGUACGUACAAGCAGUGGGAGCACGCUUAGGCGUGUGACUGCGUACCUUUUGUAUAAUGGGUCAGCGACUUAUAUUCUGUAGCAAGGUUAACCGAAUAGGGGAGCCGAAGGGAAACCGAGUCUUAACUGGGCGUUAAGUUGCAGGGUAUAGACCCGAAACCCGGUGAUCUAGCCAUGGGCAGGUUGAAGGUUGGGUAACACUAACUGGAGGACCGAACCGACUAAUGUUGAAAAAUUAGCGGAUGACUUGUGGCUGGGGGUGAAAGGCCAAUCAAACCGGGAGAUAGCUGGUUCUCCCCGAAAGCUAUUUAGGUAGCGCCUCGUGAAUUCAUCUCCGGGGGUAGAGCACUGUUUCGGCAAGGGGGUCAUCCCGA
RNAcentral lists this ribosomal RNA (901 nucleotides) under Escherichia coli. RNAcentral's name for it is "partial 23S ribosomal RNA". It matches the Rfam family "Bacterial large subunit ribosomal RNA", at positions 1 to 934 of the family's 2925-position model. Lineage: Bacteria; Pseudomonadati; Pseudomonadota; Gammaproteobacteria; Enterobacterales; Enterobacteriaceae. The record is from RNAcentral.